ACGUAGGGGGCUAGCGUUGUCCGGAUUUAUUGGGCGUAAAGAGCGUGUAGGCGGCCAGGUAGGUCUGGUGUGAAAACUCGAGGCUUAGCCUCGAGAUGUCAUCGGAAACCAUUUGGCUAGAGUCCGGAAGAGGAAAGUGGAAUUCCUGGUGUAGCGGUGAAAUGCGCAGAUAUCAGGAGGAACAUCGAUGGCGAAGGCAAUCACCUGGGCCUGAACUGACACUGUGACACGAAAGCGUGGGUAGCAAACAGGA
This 253-nucleotide ribosomal RNA is filed under the name uncultured prokaryote. RNAcentral describes it as "partial 16S ribosomal RNA". It matches the Rfam family "Bacterial small subunit ribosomal RNA", at positions 525 to 777 of the family's 1533-position model. The record is from RNAcentral.